Molecule: ribosomal RNA, 466 nt
Filed under: uncultured bacterium
Lineage: Bacteria
Description: partial 16S ribosomal RNA
Rfam family: Bacterial small subunit ribosomal RNA
Source: RNAcentral
CUACGGGGUGCAGCAGUGGGGAAUAUUGGACAAUGGGGGAAACCCUGAUCCAGCAAUGCCGCGUGUGUGAAGAAGGCCUGCGGGUUGUAAAGCACUUUCGGUUGGGAGGACUGCUUCUAGCACUAAUAUUGUUGGAAGUUGACGUUACCUUCAGAAGAAGCACCGGCUAACUCCGUGCCAGCAGCCGCGGUAGAUACGGAGGGUGCAAGCGUUAAUCGGAAUUACUGGGCGUAAAGCGCGCGUAGGCGGCUAGAUCAGUCGGGUGUGAAAGCCCCGGGCUUAACCUGGGAACUGCAUCCGAUACUGUCUAGCUUGAGUACAGGAGAGGAGAGUGGAAUUCCACAUGUAGCGGUGAAAUGCGUAGAUAUGUGGAGGAACACCAAUGGCGAAGGCAGCUCUCUGGCCUGAUACUGACGCUGAGGUGCGAAAGCGUGGGGAGCAAACAGGAUUAGAUACCCCUCUAGUC